CAGGGUUUGUGGAAGGAGCCGAGGCUCAGGUGUACACCCCAGCACCGCUCGUGUUAACGUGGGCUCUGCAGCAGCACUCAGUGCUCAGGCAAAACUCGCACCGAACCCAGCUGUGUUUGGACUGAACUUGCCGGAGUUCUGCUUGAGAAAGGGCACUGAGAAAUAAUAACGUUUUGUAAAAGGAAUUCAUAUACUUUAAUUGUUGAUAUUUUCCCUUCCGAAAACUCACUGAGAGAUCUGCACCGGCAUUUAGGAUAUAUUGCAUAGUUCUCAAUAGUACAUCAGCCCCAGGGAAGGUGCAGGCACGUACCUAUUGCACAGUGCAGAACUCAAGACGGCGAUAGACAACUGUGGAUGCGCACACGCACACCCGCGCACCCCGCAGCACCCCUCGGCGGGCUUUGCCCCACACUUCCCCGUGCCGCCCCCCGCCCCCCGCACAGCGCAGCGCCUGGGUGACGGGGUCAGGCGUGGCGGGAGCGGGGGAGCGGGAGGUGAAGAGCAGCAGCGGGCUCGGGGCUGGCUGCGGCUGCUCGCUGGGCUGAGCGGCUGUGCCCAGAGGGCGGAGUUCCCGCACGCUGCUGCCUCACCGGAGAACCUGCCCUCGGCGCAGCGCUCCGCAACCGGGACCCCACCGCCACCGCCCUCCCCGCGCCGCUCCGUGUGGACCCGCGUCCUCCUCCGCUCGGGGAACCGGGAGGUAGCGGAGCCGCGCUGCCCCCAGUCCUCGUCCUCAUGCGGGGUUCCCGAGCACCUCUCACACCGCAGAGCGUGCGUCUAACGCCAGGAUUUAUUUUUUAUUUGGUCUCUCUUCGAAGCGUUUCCUCCCCCCGCCUCCCCUCCCCCUCGCUCCCAUCGGUAAGUUGGAACUUUCUUCGCCGCUUUAGCAGUUCUCCCGCUCUCUCUCCAGGUUUUAGUUCCUUUAUUAACGCUUUGCCGCUGCUCCGCUGGCACCGACGCCGGAGAAAACACCACCCGCCAGGAGCGGGGCUGCGUCCGUUCUCGGAGCCGCAGGAGAAGCUGCGGGCGGCGGGGGACGGACGCUUCGUCGGCUGCGGGUAUUUUCCGUGGCGGCCGUUCCGAGGGGGGCUCCGCUUCAUCACAGUUUUCUCAGCUUCGGCAGCUCUGGCGCGACCGUCCCGCCGGCGAGAGAUCACUGAAGGCAAACAUCGAAUUAAUUGGAUCUUGGUGUCUGAGACUGGUAACAGUGUAUUGAAUGGAGUUAUCUGCCACAAUGCCCAGGUGUCUGCCAGAAUGUCAGGCUGUUCUAGACCAGCUCAUUUUCAGAUGUGUCCUCUGACAACACCAUGUUAA
This 1314-nucleotide long non-coding RNA is filed under the name Numida meleagris (helmeted guineafowl). Its description in RNAcentral is "lncRNA (ENSNMEG00000021649.1)". Lineage: Eukaryota; Metazoa; Chordata; Aves; Galliformes; Numididae. The record is from RNAcentral.